CCUACGGGCGGCAGCAGUGAGGAAUAUUGGUCAAUGGACGCAAGUCUGAACCAGCCAUGCCGCGUGCAGGAAGAAGGCUCUAUGAGUUGUAAACUGCUUUUGUACGAGGGUAAACACAGAUACGCGUAUCUGUCUGAAAGUACCGUACGAAUAAGGAUCGGCUAACUCCGUGCCAGCAGCCGCGGUAAUACGGAGGAUGCAAGCGUUAUCCGGAUUUAUUGGGUUUAAGGGGUGCGUAGGCGGUUGGAUAAGUUAGAGGUGAACUCCCGGGGCCAAACUUGGGAAUUGCCUGUGAUACUGGUCGGCUAGAGAGUAGUUGCGGUAGGCGGAAUGUAUGGUGUAGCGGUGAAAUGCUUAGAGAUCAUACAGAACACCGAUUGCGAAGGCAGCUUACCAAGCUACUUCUGACGUUGAGGCACGAAAGCGUGGGGAGCAAACAGGAUUAGAUACCCCAGUAGUC
RNAcentral lists this ribosomal RNA (460 nucleotides) under uncultured bacterium. Its description in RNAcentral is "partial 16S ribosomal RNA". It matches the Rfam family "Bacterial small subunit ribosomal RNA", at positions 338 to 795 of the family's 1533-position model. The record is from RNAcentral.